AUGGAGUCCGCCGGCGGUAGCAUCCCUAGGCCGCAAACGGCGUCCGCGCGCCGGCUGGGGCGCAGCUCCAGCUCUGCUUCUCGCGCUGGCGCUGGCGCGUUCGCCUACGACGGGAUGCGCGCCGCGCCGCUCUUCUCCUCGGCCAACUUCGCGCGCUCCCUCCGCAAGGCGGCCUCCUUCGGCCACAAGAAGAAGCCAAGCGCCGGCGACGCCGACGCGGCCGCGCAACCGCCCCGCCGGGCACUGAGCAGCAAGGACCAGAACACUGUCCACGGCGCGGACGCUGGGCAGGUGACGUUAUCGCCCCGCCGGUCGCCGCCCGAGCCCAGCGUCGGUGCGAGGCAAGGCCCCUGGGAGCCCACGAGGCGGAGGCGGAGCACCGGGGGAGCCUCGCCGGACGAAACCCCGGCGAAUAAAGUAUCGGCUAGCGCGCUGAGGGACAUGAUGGCGCCGAAGAGGGAGGGGUCCGAGAAGGAGGAGACAAUGCACCGGGCGCGCGUGCUCGCCACGCGGCUGCUGCAGUGGCGGUUCGCCAACGCUCGGAUGGAGAAGGCCGUCGCCCGCGCCACCUCCGCAGCCGAGAACAAGCUGUUCUACACGUGGCUGCGCGUGGCGGAGCUGCGCAACAUCCAUGCGGCGAAGCGGAUCGUGGCGCAGCGGCGGCGGCAGAAGCUGAAGCUGGAAAGGCUGCUGCGGCCGCAGCUCCCCCUCCUCGCAUCAUGGGAGUCCCUCGACAAGCCCCACGCAGACGCUGUCUCCGACCUCGCCGGCGCCCUCUCCGCCGCCUGCACACCCCUCCCCAUAACCGCCGGCGCCCAAGUCGAUAUGGAGUCGCUCCGCGAGAUCAUGUUCGCCUGCGUGGGCACGGUGACCGAGAUCGAAGCCAACGCCGACACGUUCUACGCCACGGCCGGCGCGACGAGCGGCGCGCUAGGCGAGCUUGCAAGGACGAUACGGCAGGAGGUGGAAGGGCUGGAGGAAGCCAUGCGGCUGUCCAGGGUCGUCACUCGCUUGCAGAUGCAGGAGGCGAGCCUUCGAACGAACUUAGUUCAGGCGAAGCAGAAGCGUGAUCACGACAUGGGAGUCGCCUUCGUCGCUCCGGCGACUGCAGCUUCCGGGUGGUGCUAUUGA
This 1131-nucleotide ribosomal RNA is filed under the name Triticum aestivum (bread wheat). RNAcentral describes it as "partial small subunit ribosomal RNA". The record is from RNAcentral. Lineage: Eukaryota; Viridiplantae; Streptophyta; Magnoliopsida; Poales; Poaceae.